This 1259-nucleotide long non-coding RNA is filed under the name Olea europaea (common olive). RNAcentral describes it as "long non-coding RNA (OEUR_LNC012361)". The record is from RNAcentral. Lineage: Eukaryota; Viridiplantae; Streptophyta; Magnoliopsida; Lamiales; Oleaceae.
GAAAUUUGAAGCAAAAAUUGCAUCAGUACAACACAAGCCCUCAAUGGAUACUCCUUUGGUAUUACCGUGUGACGAAUCCUGAGGAGUCCCACGGACGAUUCAUUAGUGGGUAGAACAAUUUUUCCAUUCCAUGCUUCACCAUAUUUUACUUCUUCAUUUGAACUAGUGGUUGUUUCAGCAAAAUUGGUUGCCACGGCAGAGAUAUUCGCGUUGGAUACUCCACAAAUCCUAUUUCCAUAGCGAAAAUUAUGGGAAUCACAAGAUAGGUAUAAAGCAAAUAGAUUGAAAUGGCGCUUAGCGAUAAUGGAAGAGAAAGUAGUGUUGAAAUUGGGAGAGAAAUUCGAGAGCUUGGAUGGAAAAGUAAAGAAACGAUGCUUAGAUAAAGAUACUGUCAUUGCUAUGUUUCUGUAAAGGUUUAGUGCUUAGAAAAGUAAAGAAACGGUGCUUAUAAUUUGUGGUGUUAUGGGGUUUUCCACCACCUCCACCACCACCACCACCACAAUCACUUUUUUAUUUUUUUAUUUGGGACUCUUUUGAACUUUUUUAAAAAUUGGGGCUAUGAUUGCAAUUAAUUCUUUGUUUUGUUUUUUUAUUUAAAUAGAAAGACAAAUUAGUCAUUUUAUAGCUUUUUAUUGAGACAAAUGAUGAAAAUGAUAUUUUACACAAGAAAAAAAAAUUAGGAAUGAAAUGCGUCAAAAAACGAAAGAUGGGGAUGUUUUUCACAAAAAUCAUAAAAGAUAAGGACAUUUUGUGCUAAUUAUCCAAGGAAAAACUAUUCAUUUCCUUGUUCACCCCACCCCACCGGAAAAUUGAAUAAUGGCGGAUACUCACCGGCGGCCACAUGUGGAAAUCGGCCUCAUUACCAAUGGGUCUCAUCACAGAUUAAAGCAACUAAGUUGUACAGAUACAAACGCAUACAUCUCACCCAUAAGCAGCUGAAGAAUUUGCCCAAAAAUACCAGGAGGAAAAGCUAAGAGACUCCACAGGAAUUUUGCGUUGUCCGCCACCAUAACUCAGUCGAAGCCUACUGAGGCUCUGCCCUCCGUUAACAGUGGCAUUGGUUUAACUACUCAGACCAUUUCCUCCAAGUGUCAGGCCCAAGAAAGGCCAUCUCUGGUGUCAUUUCCUCUGAUACACCACAAUGGACCAUUCACAAGGUGUGUUGAAGGUAGAGCCAACGUAGUGAGUUCGCAUAAAAACCUCAAUGAAGAAAGAGGAAUCGACUGAAGUGAAUGAAAAUUGGGGUGGGUGGCGGGGAG